Molecule: long non-coding RNA, 2445 nt
Organism: Heterocephalus glaber (naked mole-rat)
Lineage: Eukaryota; Metazoa; Chordata; Mammalia; Rodentia; Bathyergidae
Source: Ensembl
GUGUUUGACAUCAGUAGGUACUUUGUCCUUUUUCUUCCCAUGUCUUCUAUUUCCCCAUACAUACUUGCAUCCGCAUUUAUUUAAUGUCCUCUUUCACUUAUCAGGUCACGUAAGAACUUAAUUAUUGCCCUCUUGUUUUUGACACUGGUGAUCAAACCCAGGGGCUCUCUACCACUGUAUUACAUCCUCAUCCCCUUUAAAAAAAAUUUUUUUGAAGGCAAGGUCUCACAAAGCAGUUCAGGUGGAACUUGAACUUGCAAUCCUUCUGCCUCAGCCUCCCAAGAUGCUGGGAUUAUAGGUAGAUUCUUGUUCACUCGAAGUUGGUAAGACUCUAGAGUUGUUCAAGCUUCAUGUGCCACCCAAGUUGAAGGUGAUGUGAGGGUUCAGAAAGUAGGAAUCCAGAGGAAGAGACACAAGUGAGGCUCUUGGAGAAACUGAGCAGUGUUCAGCAACUGAAAGUACUGGCGAUUGAAAAAGAAAUAAAAUAUGGGAAAGAAUCUUCCUGUGCUUCCAGGAGGCCUGGCCUGGAAAGGCCCUGGGAGGGUGUGGUUGGCCUGAGGAAUAUUGAGAAGUGUAUUUUCCUUCCUUUCAAGGAAAUUUUCCUCUUAAAAAACAAACAGCAAUUUCUAAACUUAGGAAUUGAACAAAAGAAAUAUAUUUUCUCUAGGAGCAAAAUUUGCACUAUUGGAAAAGAAAUCGAAUAUGGGAAAGAAUCUUCCCGUAGUUGCCUCAGUAAUGAUUUUCUUUAGUUCACAUAAAGACACAUUUAGUGAAUCCAUUCAGGCUGGCUCAGGUUACGAUGACUGAAACAUAUUAAGCAUUUUUGGGGGGUGGGAAGAGAGGCAGAGAGAGGAGAGGAGGGCGAAGGAGAAAGAAAUAGCUCCAAAUUAGGCACUAGCCUGUUGGGGAUUUGAAAGCUCAUCAAUAAAAUAAAAACUUUUAAAAAACAGCUUUGUGAUGGUCAGCUUUAAAUAUUAAUUAGCCUUUGUUAUUUUCCCUUAGCAAGCUGAGAUUAGUAUUUGUAUUUUAUAUAUGGUUUGGAGGACUGUCACAUUUAAAGGAAUGUCUUGAAGGAUGUUGCUUUGUUUUUUAUUUUGUUUUGCUUUUUUGCAGUAUUGAAAGUAGAAUCCAGUAACUUGCACAUACUAAGCAAGUACUCUACCACUGAGCUCCCCUCCAGACUCUGAAAGGCCUGCUUCUGCUGAGAAAAUCUUUCAUUCUCAACUCCAGAUGCCAGAGUUAAAGCCUCACAGGUUGACAGAGAUGAUCCCUUGGGUUUCCAGAAUUUGGCAGAACAGCUGACGCACUGAUCCUGUCAAUCUCUACUCUCACAGUGAAUCAUUUACAUCUGAGAAGCCCUUGCCUUGACCUUAUAAAAUCAGUAUGUUUCAAUAAUUCUGAAUCAUCUCAAAAAUGGAAUAAUUAGCUUUUAAAUUAAAAAAUCCAAAUAAACAAGUGGUUAGAGAGCACAUCAAAAGUAUUUAAAUAAUAAGUCCUAGCCAAGAAGAUGUAAUCUAUUAUUGUCUUCCCUUGGAUCAAAGAAUACCUACUACCAGAAUGAAGGACUGUGUCCCAAAAGCAGAUUAAAGUUUUUAUCUUCUGCAGACUGAAAAUUGCUGAUAACUUCUAAAAGACAAGAAACAAAACCACAGCUGUUAAACGUCCUGUUGUUACAUGGUGACCAACAAUGCACAUCUGCACACCACGUACAGUCCUUGCUGGUGUUGCAGUUCAUCUGCCCCUCUUACUGCACCUCCUCUACUCUCUGAGCCUGCUACAGUCCUUCAGUUCACUUAGCAAUCUGUAGGAGUCUUGUCGCAAACACCAAAUACUUAUUAAGAGUGGAGGAACCAUUGCUAUUUAUAUGGUGUGUAGUGGGGGCUUCAAUUAUCAUCCCUCCCCUGUAUCCAUUCUCCCAUUUUGUGAACAAUAACAAAAUCCCCAAUAGUUUUCUGAAUUUCCAUGCCUUCCUUGUAGUUAGAUGUGAACACUGAUGACUUUCUGGCCAAUGGCUUGUGAACAGAUGUGAUGAUGAGUCCACUCACCAAGUUGUGUCUGUGAAACAAAGGGGGGUACCUCUUUGUCCCUUCUCUUUCCAUGGGAAAAGAAGCUUGGAAGGAGGGAGUCCCCUAGGGAAACCAAGCAGCAAAAUCAAGAAAAUCUGGAUUUCUGACUCCUUUACCCAGGGGCAGAAGUUCCCAGAUGUUCGCAUUUCACAGUGCAGAGUCUGUAAUGUAAUUUUUCUCAUUGUUUUUGGGUCAAAGUAAUGCAUAAAAAUUCUGUUUUUUAAGUAGUUGUAUUUAAACAAUUUAAUAUGUAUUUCUACCAUAAUGACUUAGAAGCCAUUUAAAAAUUAAUACAAAUAAAUUAAGAAAAAAAAUACUGAUUUCCAUUUUUAAGUAGCCAUAUCUCUUACAUGUAGGAGUAAGGUGUAUGCACUUGUUG